AUUGAACGCUGGCGGAAUGCUUUACACAUGCAAGUCGAACGGCAGCACGGGGGCAACCCUGGUGGCGAGUGGCGAACGGGUGAGUAAUACAUCGGAACGUGCCCAGUCGUGGGGGAUAACGUAGCGAAAGCUACGCUAAUACCGCAUACGAUCUCUGGAUGAAAGCGGGGGACCGCAAGGCCUCGCGCGAUUGGAGCGGCCGAUGGCAGAUUAGGUAGUUGGUGGGGUAAAGGCUCACCAAGCCGACGAUCUGUAGCUGGUCUGAGAGGACGACCAGCCACACUGGGACUGAGACACGGCCCAGACUCCUACGGGGAGCAGCAGGUGGGGUAAUUUUGGAACAAGUGGGACGAAAGCCUGAUCCAGCCAUUCCGCGUGC
RNAcentral lists this ribosomal RNA (379 nucleotides) under uncultured bacterium. RNAcentral's name for it is "bacterial SSU rRNA". It matches the Rfam family "Bacterial small subunit ribosomal RNA", at positions 29 to 404 of the family's 1533-position model. The record is from RNAcentral.